GAUACCCCUGUAGUCCUGGCCGUAAACGAUGAACACUAGGUGUCGGGGGAAUCGACCCCCUCGGUGUCGUAGCCAACGCGUUAAGUGUUCCGCCUGGGGAGUACGCACGCAAGUGUGAAACUCAAAGGAAUUGACGGGGGCCCGCACAAGCGGUGGAGUAUGUGGUUUAAUUCGAUGCAACGCGAAGAACCUUACCAGGGUUUGACAUCCUGCGAAUCCCUUGGAAACUUGGGAGUGCCUUCGGGAGCGCAGUGACAGGUGGUGCAUGGCUGUCGUCAGCUCGUGUCGUGAGAUGUUGGGUUAAGUCCCGCAACGAGCGCAACCCACGUCUUUAGUUGCCAGCAUUUAGUUGGGCACUCUAGAGAGACUGCCGGUGAUAAACCGGAGGAAGGUGUGGAUGACGUCAAGUCAUCAUGCCCCUUACAUCCUGGGCUACAAACGUACUACAAUGCUACGGACAAAGGGCAGCAAACUCGCGAGAGCUAGCAAAUCCCAUAAACCGUGGCUCAGUUCAGAUCGUAGGCUGCAACUCGCCUACGUGAAGGAGGAAUCGCUAGUAAUCGCAGGUCAGCAUACUGCGGUGAAUACGUUCCCGGGCCUUGUACACACCGCCCGUCACACCAUGGAAGUUGGCCACGCCCGAAGUCGUUACUCCAACCCUUGUGGAGGAGGAUGCCGAAGGUGGGGCUGAUGACUGGGGUGAAGUCGUAACAAGGUAGCCGUACCGGAAGGUGC
This 735-nucleotide ribosomal RNA is filed under the name uncultured Synechococcus sp. RNAcentral describes it as "bacterial SSU rRNA". It matches the Rfam family "Bacterial small subunit ribosomal RNA", at positions 781 to 1515 of the family's 1533-position model. The record is from RNAcentral. Lineage: Bacteria; Bacillati; Cyanobacteriota; Cyanophyceae; Synechococcales; Synechococcaceae.